This 66-nucleotide transfer RNA is filed under the name Abrus yunshanensis. RNAcentral's name for it is "tRNA-Asp". The record is from RNAcentral. Lineage: Eukaryota; Metazoa; Arthropoda; Insecta; Hemiptera; Cicadellidae.
AAGAAGUUAGUUUAACUUAAAACAUAAACUUGUCAAGUUUAUAAUAUUAUUAUAUUUUACUUCUUU